Molecule: ribosomal RNA, 905 nt
Filed under: Pseudeurotium zonatum
Lineage: Eukaryota; Fungi; Ascomycota; Leotiomycetes; Thelebolales; Pseudeurotiaceae
Description: LSU rRNA
Rfam family: Eukaryotic large subunit ribosomal RNA
Source: RNAcentral
GCAUAUCAAUAAGCGGAGGAAAAGAAACCAACAGGGAUUGCCUCAGUAACGGCGAGUGAAGCGGCAACAGCUCAAAUUUGAAAUCUGGCCUCACGGCCCGAGUUGUAAUUUGUAGAGGAUGCUUCGAGCAUGGUCUGGCCUAAGUUCCUUGGAACAGGACGUCAUAGAGGGUGAGAAUCCCGUAUGCGGCCAGGUGCCUACGCUCAUGUGAAGCUCCUUCGACGAGUCGAGUUGUUUGGGAAUGCAGCUCAAAAUGGGUGGUAAAUUUCAUCUAAAGCUAAAUAUUGGCCAGAGACCGAUAGCGCACAAGUAGAGUGAUCGAAAGAUGAAAAGCACUUUGGAAAGAGAGUUAAACAGUACGUGAAAUUGUUGAAAGGGAAGCGCUUGCAACCAGACUUGCGUGCGGCCGAUCAUCCGGUGUUCUCACCGGUGCACUCGGUCGCGCUCAGGCCAGCAUCGGUUUUGGUGGUUGGAUAAAGGCCCUAGGAAUGUAGCUUCUCUCGGGGAGUGUUAUAGCCUAGGGUGCAAUGCAGCCCACCGGGACCGAGGACCGCGCUUCGGCUAGGAUGCUGGCGUAAUGGUUGUAAGCGACCCGUCUUGAAACACGGACCAAGGAGUCUAACAUCUAUGCGAGUGUUUGGGUGUCAAACCCAUACGCGUAAUGAAAGUGAACGGAGGUGAGAACCCUUAAGGGUGCAUCAUCGACCGAUCCUGAUGUCUUCGGAUGGAUUUGAGUAAGAGCAUAGCUGUUGGGACCCGAAAGAUGGUGAACUAUGCCUGAAUAGGGUGAAGCCAGAGGAAACUCUGGUGGAGGCUCGCAGCGGUUCUGACGUGCAAAUCGAUCGUCAAAUUUGGGCAUAGGGGCGAAAGACUAAUCGAACCAUCUAGUAGCUGGUUCCUGCCGA